Molecule: long non-coding RNA, 2944 nt
Organism: Peromyscus californicus insignis
Lineage: Eukaryota; Metazoa; Chordata; Mammalia; Rodentia; Cricetidae
Exons: 3
Source: RefSeq, a predicted model, not a curated record
UUAGCUAGGCAUGGUGAAAUACACCUUUAGUGUAUGUGUUGUGUGAUCUUUUGAUUGUGUUCUGACAAAUAAAGCUUGCUUGGAGUCAGAGGGUAGAGCUAGCUACUAACUAACCAUAGAGAUUUGGAGGACUGUAGAGAGAGGGACAGGAAGUGGUAAGGCGGGGCUGAAACAGGAUCUUAACCUUUCUGGUUGGAGGAAUGGAAGAGGUAGGAAGCUAUUGACAGCUGCUCCUGGUUCUCUGAUCUUUCAGGUUUUACUCUGAUAUCUGACUCCUGGUUUUUAUUGAUAAGAUUAAUUAGAUUUAUGCAUCAUCUGGCAUUCAACUUUUGGGGCACAAAAUCAUGAAGUACCUACUUGCCUGUGGCUUUGGAACCAUGGGCACCCACCAGAGCUGCAUGCAGGAACUGCAUUCCAGAACUAUAUCUGGCUUUCCUUUUCUUCGCCAAGCCCUCUGAGCAAGUCUGGGAUUUUCCUGUUGCAGCCUCUCUACAGCAAACUGCACUGGUGCCUGGGCUCCGAAUGGUUAGCCUCUCACCGCCAGCUCAGCCUUCAGGCAGCUCUGUGCUUUCACUUUCUGUCUGUCACACAUGCUGCUUUCGCAAUUCCCCGUCUGUCUUCCAGAUGGCUGACUCUUUGGCUUCUUUUCCCAGUGGGUUGUGGGCUUUCCCUGGACCCCUUCCUCAGGCUCCUGACAUGUGAUCAGUGGCAGCUGUCCUCAGCCAGGCUGUGCACUGCCUGUGUUCUCUGCUCAGAUGUGCUACGCAGGCAGCAGCAGCCAGCCUCACACUUCACCGUCAUCAUCAGCAGAUUUGGAGAGUGAAGGCAUCCAACUAAGGAAUCAGAAGACCACUGGACAAAUGAGACAUUUGAGAAAAAGGAUGAAUCAUCCAGAGAAAAUAUCCCAAGAAAAAGAGUAAACUGGCCUAUUGUUUUCUGCAGUGAACCAUGACCAUGCCUAACAGCGUCCUUUGAAAUCGUCAAAAGGAGGAUGGGGCCCCACAAUGACAAUUCCACCUGGACGAUGGCAAUGCCAUUAAGCUGACAAACGUCACCUAAAGAUCGUCUGUGGACUACAAACUGCUCAGAACAAUUUCAAGGUGGCUAGCUGAGAUGGUCCAGGCUCACAGACUACUCCGGCCAGGACUUUGACAUAAGCCCUGCACUUUCCCAUGACACACAGACAACAAAUGAUACAGCUAGCUCUUCCAGGACUUGACAAUUGUCACAUUUUCUCAGGGUCCCCUAAAGAUGCCGUCACUCCUAGACAACAGGAAGUAAUUUUAAGAACAUGACAUCCAACAGUCCCAAGAGAUGGGGUAGGUAGUUUUUGGUUGUUCAGUUGAUUAUGGAUAUUUGUCAUCAUUUAGGGGGGUUGGUUACAAGUUGCUAUUGGUAAUGGUCAGGAAAGAAGCUGAACAAAGGAGAUUAGAUUCAGGAAUCUCAUUCUAAAAAGAAAACAGGGAUAUAGAAAUAGGAUAAAGGGGUACAUUAUUGAAUCUAUUUUUAAACCAAAAAAAGCAACUACUAGUCUUAAAUAUUUUACAUUGAUAUGAAUUUUUGUAUAUUGAUACAAAUUUGAAAUUAUUUUUGUUAUACUGUAUAGAUGUUUCUAUUUUGUUUAAGAUGCUUUGUAUAUUGAUACAUAUUUAAGGUUAUUUUGGUUAGAACAUGCUGUACGUGCAUUUCUACUCUUGUCCAAGGUAUGGUACCUACCCAGCUCAUUUAACAAUGUAAUGUAAAUUUCUAUUCCUUGAAAGUUAUUACAAACUUUAGGAUAGUAAAGAAAUUCAGGCUAGUAGUUAGUCACUAUUACAAUCAAACUUGUAGUCAUGUUAGGUAUGUUUUCAAGGUCAAACAGAGAUAUACUUUAGGAUAGACAGGUGGUCUUCAAACACUUCAGAGACCUACAGAAUAUGGCAUUUGAGAUGUUUUAAUAACAUAGGUUCUUUUUUUAUGACAAUGAGACAUGUCUGCUGGCAGCACCAAUCUACUUCAGAAAAGAUUAUGGGCAUUGAAGAAACUCCUCAUGGAGUUUCUUUGUGGCAAAAGUUAGCCACUGGGGCAAGAAAGUGCUCUUGCCUCAACUGCUGACAGUAUGCUGUCCAAAUUGGACAAGCAAGACACAAAAGAAAGUGACUGCCAAACUUGGCCAAGACAAGGCAGGACAGUCCUUCAAAAAUCCUGCUUCACAGAAAAGUCUGUCAGCUAUUCUAGGUCUGUAGGUUGAAGAUGGAUGCCCCAACAUUGCAGAGGAAUCUUGGGUGACUGUCCAGGUAGUCAACUGUUUCUGUCAUUUCUCACAUUUUUUGCAAAUCGCUUGCUUACACUUCCUGCUUACUCAAGUAAUAUUAUUUCCUUCUCGUGUCUCUGAUGGAGUUGAAGACUAGAUAGUUAUAGUUUUCCUUGUGAACAAAUUCAGAAAAAAAAACCCUCACAAAAGAGGUGUAAAGUGUAUAAGGUUGAGAGAUAUGAAAAGAUAGUUUGGGUUGGUAAUUCAAGUUAGGAUUGAAAGUGAAUUAGGUACAACAUUUUAGACUCACCAAGAUAGUAUAGUUAAUGGAGUAUUUUCUCUGAAUUUAUCAUAUGCUAUGGACUAGACAUUGUUAAUGCAAUUAUUGCCUGUAUAUAUAUGAAUAUAGUUAUUGUACUUAUUGUAUAUAGUUUUUCUAUGUCAGUUAAAAAUCUUUGCUUUUUAUUUGGACAAAAAGGGGGAAAUGUGUGAUAUUUUUACUUUGUUCUGCCAAAUAAAGCUUGCUUGGAGUCAGAGGGUAGAGCUAGCCACUACCUAACCAUAGAGGUUUGGAGGACUGUAGAGAGAGGGACAGGAAGUGGUAAGGCGGGGCUAAGACAGGAUCUUAGCCUUUUUGAUUGGAGGAAUGAAAGAGAUAGGAAACUACUGGCAGCUGCUCCUGGUUCUCUGAUCUCUCAGGUUUUACUCUGA